RNAcentral lists this ribosomal RNA (475 nucleotides) under uncultured Acidovorax sp. Its description in RNAcentral is "bacterial SSU rRNA". It matches the Rfam family "Bacterial small subunit ribosomal RNA", at positions 902 to 1382 of the family's 1533-position model. Lineage: Bacteria; Pseudomonadati; Pseudomonadota; Betaproteobacteria; Burkholderiales; Comamonadaceae. The record is from RNAcentral.
CAAAUGAAUUGACGGGACCGCACAAGCGGUGGAUGAUGUGGUUUAAUUCGAUGCAACGCGAAAACUUACCACCUUUGACAUGUACGGAAUCCUUUAGAGAUAGAGGAGUGCUCGAAAGAGAGCCGUAACACAGGUGCUGCAUGGCUGUCGUCAGCUCGUGUCGUGAGAUGUUGGGUUAAGUCCCGCAACGAGCGCAACCCUUGUCAUUAGUUGCUACAUUCAGUUGGGCACUCUAAUGAGACUGCCGGUGACAAACCGGAGGAAGGUGGGGAUGACGUCAAGUCCUCAUGGCCCUUAUAGGUGGGGCUACACACGUCAUACAAUGGAUGGUACAAAGGGUCGCCAACCCGCGAGGGGGAGCCAAUCCCAUAAAGCCAUUCGUAGUCCGGAUCGCAGUCUGCAACUCGACUGCGUGAAGUCGGAAUCGCUAGUAAUCGUGGAUCAGAAUGUCACGGCGAAUACGUUCCCGGGUCUU